CCCAGACACAGGGCAGCCUUCCUCUCAGAACAUCUUCUGCAUCCUGAAAGCCUCCAGUGGGCUCAUCCUUCCAGUUAAUGGACAGGAAAACUAAGACCAGUGAGGAAUCCCAAUGCUCAUCCUGCCAGGAUAGAAAGGAAAGCCCAGAGGGAUUGCAAAGAGUGCUGAAGAGCAGGGAUUCGCUGUGUGGGGACAGCUCGUGCUUUGUGUUUCAGGACAGGGAACUCAGGAGUGCAAACCUCAGUCAGGUGCAGUCCAGAGCCUGUCUUGAGCAUAAUGGCUGCUCUGCUCUGCCCCCGACCCUCAUCACCUCCAGCGGGGUUCAUCAUCCCAGUUUAUGGACAGAAAAACUAAGACUAGAGGGGGAGGGCUUAGCUCCUGCUCAGAGCAGACCUUCAACUCCUUCACCUGCCUGGACCUGGCACCCUCCCAAGAGACUGCAACCAAGGUUACGAAAAUAGCAUCUACUCACCAUCCUUCCUCAGCACACCCCCAACCAAUCCACCCCCUCAGUCCCACCCGUCUCAAGGAGACUGAGCCCCGAGAAGCACAGCCUCCUGCACCUCCUCACCUCCCAGCCUGCUUUCCUGGUCUAUCUGCAAUGUCCUCAAGUCCUUUCCCGUCCUCCUCAUCCAAACUCCAAGAUCUGCCUCACCUCACCCUCCUCCAGGAAGCCCCCUUCAUGGCCUGGGUUCACUCCCUGUCGUGACCGUCCGCCCUCACCAGCACAGCACCAAGCCUUGCAAUGCUCUCUAGUAGUUAUUUCCUGCACAGAGAAGGGGUGAGGGAAGCAUCAUUUCUGCCUAUCCCUGUUCACACGCAAGGCUGGCUCUGCCUUCCCAGGGACCGUUCUGCAGAGGGAGACUGCUCAUCAGGCAGGUACCACCUCCAGGGAUCUCACUAACGUAGAACUGAUGGGCCUCAGUUCUGUUCAGAGAACAGCUAUACAGGCUGGAGGCCUCCAAGAAACAGUUUCCAUUUUCCCUGUGGAGUCUGUAUGGGUGUAUACUGUACAGGGUAUAGGCUGUAUGGAGUCUGCAGGUAAACGUGCCUGUGUGUCAAAGAAUGAGCAUGUGUGUGUGUGCAUGUGUCAGCAUGAGAAUGCCUCUGUGUUUGUGAGUGUGAGAGGGUCAUAUAGGUGCAGGAUUCUGUUGAUGGAGAGUCAAACUCUGUAAAAAAAAAUUUUUUUUUCUUUAGAUGGAAUCUCACUCUGUCGCCCAGGCUGGAGUGUAGUGGCGCGAUCUCGGCUCACUGCAACCUCCACCUCCUGGGUUCAAGCAAUCCUCCCUGCCUCAGCCUCCCGAGUAGCUGCAAUUACAGGCACCUGCCACCAUGCUCAACUAAUUUUUGUAUUUUUUAGUAGAGACUGGGUUUUCGUCAUGUUAGUCAGGCUGGUCUUGAACUCCUGACCUCAUGUGAUCCACCCGCCUCGGCCUCCCAAAGUGUUGGGAUUACAGGCAUGAGCCACUGCACCCAGCCUGUAAAAUAUUUUAAGAGAUUUAUUCUGAGCCAAAUAUGAGUGACCGUGGCCUGUGACACAGCCCUCAGGAGGUCCUGAGAAUAUGUGCCCAAGGUGGUCGGGGUACAGCUUGGUUUUAUAUAUUUUAGGAAGAUAUGAGACAUCAAUCAAAUACAUUUAAGAAAUACAUUGAUUUGGUUCAGAAAGGCAGAACAACUCAAAGCGGGGGGGUUCCAGGCUAUAGGUAAAUUUAAACAUUUUCUGGUUGACAAUUGUUUGAGUUUGUCUAAAGACCUGGGAUCGAUAGAAAGGAAUGUUCAGUUUAAAGAUAAAGGAUUAUAGAGACCAAGUUUUAUUGUGCAGAGGAAGCUCUCAGAUAGCAAACUUCAGACAGAGCAAGUUGUAAAUUGUUUCUUAUCGGACUUAAAAGGGUGCCUGGCUCUUCCUUAGUUGAUUAUCUCCUGGAUCUGGAAAGAAAGGAAGGAAAACAAAGGCGGAAGGGGAAUUGCUAUAGAAUGUGGAUUUUUCCCACAAGAGACUUUGCAGGGCAAUUUCAAGGUAUGGCAAGGAAAUAUAUUUUGGGGUUAAAUAUUUUUUUCCUUGUCUCAUAAUGUUAUGCCAGAGUCUGAUUGAAAAGUAAAUCACAACAUAUAGGGUCAAAUAAAACCCAUCUGAUGAGAAUGUGUGGUUUGUAGGUCCUGACUUCCUAGACCUCUUAGGUAGGAAUUUGGGUAAGACAAAAUAUCAGACUUAGUCCUCAAUUCCUAAUGCAAAGUUCUGAGAUCCAAAAUGCUCCAAAAUCUAAAACAUUUUUUAGCACCGACAUAAUGCCACAAGUGGAAAAUUCCACACUUGCUUCAAUGUGCACAAACUUUGUUUCAUGCAUAAAAUUAUUUAAAAUAUUGUAUAAAA
RNAcentral lists this long non-coding RNA (2371 nucleotides) under Pongo abelii (Sumatran orangutan). RNAcentral describes it as "lincRNA". Lineage: Eukaryota; Metazoa; Chordata; Mammalia; Primates; Hominidae. The record is from RNAcentral.